This 468-nucleotide ribosomal RNA is filed under the name uncultured bacterium. RNAcentral describes it as "partial 16S ribosomal RNA". It matches the Rfam family "Bacterial small subunit ribosomal RNA", at positions 28 to 507 of the family's 1533-position model. The record is from RNAcentral.
GACGAACGCUGGCGGCGCGCCUAACACGUGCAAGUCGAACGGAGCUGAGAGAAGCUUGCUUUUCUUAGCUUAGUGGCGAACGGGUGAGUAACGCGUGAGUAACCUGCCCUGGAGUGGGGGACAACAGUUGGAAACGACUGCUAAUACCGCAUAAGCCCACGAUCCGGCAUCGGAUUGAGGGAAAAGGAUUUAUUCGCUUCAGGAUGGACUCGCGUCCAAUUAGCUAGUUGGUGAGGUAACGGCCCACCAAGGCGACGAUUGGUAGCCGGACUGAGAGGUUGGACGGCCACAUUGGGGCUGAGACACGGCCCAGAAUCCUACGGGAGGCAGCAGUGGGGGAUAUUGCACAAUGGGGGAAACCCUGAUGCAGCGACGCCGCGUGGAGGAAGAAGGUUUUCGGAUUGUAAACUCCUGUCGUUAGGGACGAUAAUGACGGUACCUAACAAGAAAGCACCGGCUAACUACGUG